Molecule: transfer-messenger RNA, 427 nt
Filed under: Patescibacteria group
Lineage: Bacteria
Also listed under: 1 other name
Description: JAHJCN01 sp018812905 X1 Standard tmRNA
Rfam family: transfer-messenger RNA
About the family: Bacterial tmRNA, also known as 10Sa RNA or SsrA, is named for its dual tRNA and mRNA-like properties.
Source: RNAcentral
GGGGGUGCCGUGUUUCGAUAGCGGCUCUCUGUCAUACUGGCAUGUCGAGGCGGUUCAAGGUCUCGUAAAUCGCUUGAACAAUCAAAUAAGUGCCGACUUAUUUAACAAAGCCAAGAACGCUGUUGCCAACUUGUUUGGUACAGUGAACUUUGCACCGGCCAUGGCCUAACGGCCCAACCGGUCACUUCGUCCACCUUUGGCGGACGGGGCAUCGCACUGGUGAUACUCGGUAUCCAGAUCGCGGUGUCACUUACCGAGCGUAGGAUGCGCGCGCUGUCCGUCGCACGCGUCUGAAAGAAUUACAGACUCGUCGGGUGAGAUUUCGUUAUCUUGAUACUCACACGAUCAAAUCCUCAAGACAACUAUGCAUGUAGAGGGUAUCACACCAGUUAGCUACACGCGAGUUCAACUCUCGCCACCUCCACCA